AGGUUCCAUAGAUCCUGAGGAUCUGGAUGCAUCAACAACUCUAAAAAGAUAAAAAAGCAAGAUUUAAAAUACUUGAAAAUAGACUGGUAAUUCAAUUGAUUUAAUAAAAACUAUGCAGUCUUUACAUAAUUAUCUUAAAAAAGGACAAAGUUUCUGUUCUUAUCAGUCUUUAUGUGUGUUCCAGCACCUUCUGUAAUCACUGGAACAGCAGGAGAAUGAUUUCCCUCAACCUCAGAACAGCUUUCAAUAAAGUCUUCAACAAGGAAGAUGAGGAGGCCGGAGCACAGCCAGGGAAGCUGCAGAACAUGAGGAAAUACAGGGCACUUAGGAGCUUUCAGUUAAACCCACAACUGAUCAUUUUGUUGGCCCAGAGUUCCUACUCUGUGAGUACUCUGCACACCUGGAGAUUUUUACAGAGUUUUGUUUUGGUCUAAUUCCCACGGGGUUUUGUACCCUUCUCUUAACAAGAAUCAGAAUAGCUUACAUUCCUGCACCAUGCUUUUCCUCCCAAGGGACCCUAAAACCAUUUACAAACUAUAAAAGCUGCUUUUUCUCUAAACAAAAAUCACUUUACCCAUCAGUGAAGUGCAGCCACCUGGAGGGGAGGGUGAGUGUAGAGCAGCAGCUGCUUAAAAACUCACAAUAUUGUUACAUUUUAAGCUGAAAAGUGAUAAGUACUAACAUCCAGCUGAAUGUAUGGCUGGCAUUUCAGAAAGUAGGACGUAAUUUUUCAAACUGUAAUUUGACCUAGAGAACAUACCCGGCUCUUGCACCAAGUACAAAGGCACAUUUAAUUUUAGCAUGCAGUCAAACAAGCAACUUAUGACUUAUUAUAAAGAAAACCAGGACCUCUGUCAGGAAAUUAUCCUAAAGUUAUGUAGAGAAGGAAGAAAAGGAUGAAGUGGAUAAUCACCUCCCAAGCACAACUGUGUAGUCUUAUUUCAUGAAAGACUAUGUGCUGAGCAAUCUCAGGCUGUUUGUUUCUCAAGUCUCAGAUAAUUGCAGCCCAGGGGGAUAGGCUGCAACAAUGCUCUAGGUGGCACGCAGAAAAACCGUGUGUCUCAUCAUUGUCAGAAUAUACUAACUGUGGCCACAAUGAUGAUGAGGAUGAUACUAGCAGCAACAACAACAACAAUCAUAAUAAAACCCCAACAACUACCA
RNAcentral lists this long non-coding RNA (1161 nucleotides) under Parus major (Great Tit). Its description in RNAcentral is "lncRNA (ENSPMJG00000001463.1)". The record is from RNAcentral. Lineage: Eukaryota; Metazoa; Chordata; Aves; Passeriformes; Paridae.